GGGGAAUAUUGCGCAAUGGGCGAAAGCCUGACGCAGCGACGCCGCGUGUGGGAUGAAGGUCUUCGGAUCGUAAACCACUGUCGGGGGGGGACGAACUCAAUGACGGUACCCCCAACGGAAGCACCGGCUAACUCUGUGCCAGCAGCCGCGGUAAUACCGAGGGUGCGAGCGUUGUCCGGAAUCACUGGGCGUAAAGGGCGCGUAGGCGGCCUGAUAAGUAGGGGGUGAAAUCUUGCGGCUCAACCGCAAGGCUGCCUCCUAGACUGUCAGGCUUGAGCACGGCAGAGGCUGGUGGAAUUCCCGGUGUAGCGGUGGAAUGCGUAGAGAUCGGGAAGAACAUCGGUGGCGAAGGCGGCCAGCUGGGCCGUUGCUGACGCUGAGGCGCGACAGCGUGGGGAGCAA
Molecule: ribosomal RNA, 402 nt
Filed under: uncultured bacterium
Lineage: Bacteria
Description: bacterial SSU rRNA
Rfam family: Bacterial small subunit ribosomal RNA
Source: RNAcentral